This 253-nucleotide ribosomal RNA is filed under the name uncultured bacterium. RNAcentral describes it as "partial 16S ribosomal RNA". It matches the Rfam family "Bacterial small subunit ribosomal RNA", at positions 524 to 776 of the family's 1533-position model. The record is from RNAcentral.
UACGUAGGGACCGAGCGUUGUCCGGAAUCAUUGGGCGUAAAGAGCGUGUAGGCGGCCCCUUAAGUCCUGCGUGAAAUCCUGCGGCUCAACCGCAGACGGUCGUGGGAAACUGGAGGGCUAGAGUGCGGGAGAGGAGAGUGGAAUUCCCGGUGUAGCGGUGAAAUGCGUAGAGAUCGGAAAGAACACCAACGGCGAAAGCACUCUGCUGGGCCGACACUGACACUGAGAGACGAAAGCUAGGGGAGCGAAUGGG